UUUGAUCUGAUUUUCAUUCUCUAAGUUGAAGUCUUGCACUUCAUACCUGAGAAUAAAUUGGAUCAAACCUCCUUGGACCUUUUGUAAGUCCUCUUUCGUUCUUUUAUGCAUUUUUAGCGUGAAAGUCAAACUUUGUUUGACUUCAUGCUUUGACCAGUUUAUGGUUAACAUGAAGUUCGUUUGAACUUCAUAACGUGAGCGUAAUCACGAUGGUUUUAGUCCCUAGUGACUAUACCUACUGAUUACCAGGUUAUCUAGGUGUAGUGACGAGUCGUAGUUUCGGCCAAAAUGCAUAUUCUUGCGUAUUUUGUAACCAAACUACUUUUAGGUAUCAAAACCGUUUGUUUUGAUACCAAACCUAUUUUCUAACUUCGUUAAACAUGUUUUAACAUGUUUAGCUCGUCACUUUAGGUUUAGUGCUUAUGUAGAGUCGUAAGUCAAGCGGUCUAAACAACCGCUUAGACUUUCGAACUAGACCUGUUUGGUCGAUCAUUAGGAUCCGACCAAACAUGUUUAGUGACCAUAGUUGUAUAGGGAAUAACCUUCCGAGGUUAUACCUUAUGGUCACCUCGUUUAAGUAGUUGUAUCAUAGGUAGUUUAUAUGCCUUAGGAAAAUGACCAAAAUGCCCUUUUAUGCAUAAUUGAUAUUUAAGCAUAUGUAACCCAAACUUUUGUCACUUAACUGAUUAUGCAACAUAAUUAAACAUGUUUAAGCAUAUAAUACUUGUCAUAGGACUAGUUAGGCGGUCCGAACGCGUUUUACGCAAACGACGCGUUAAAGUAGCGCAAGCUACCUAAACGGGUCGUAAUGGGUCGUAAGCACUUAGGUUAGGUUUCAUUUUAGUAUGUAGGCUUUGUUAAACAAUAUCAUUUGGGUCCCCACACUCAUUUGGUUUACGAGACCUCAUCCUAUCCGAUCUUCCGAUAUAGGUCUGGUUUAUUUAUGUAGUUACCUAUAUUAGGUGCCGUUUGAUUACAUGCUCCCUCUAGCUUGCUUGGUAGUUGUUCAAGACUUCUAAGCACCCUCAAGUGAGUACAUAGUCCCCUCUUUUACUGUUUUCAAAUGUUUUGGGGUGAAAUAUGUGUACCUAUUUGUUAUGUUCAUGAUUUCAAAUUAUAAUUUAUUAUACGUAUUAGUACUUAUCUUUUAAGAAACUGAAUGAUUAUUUAUGGUUUUAACACAAAUUUUUCCAAAGAUUAUAAAUUUAAAUUGUUGGAUAGUACUUAUUUUAUGUUCACCAGACCGGUUGGUAGUAUCAUAUAGCGCUAAAGGAUUUGACACCCCAUUCCUGUUGUCACGGAAUGUCUGAAACCAAUUUAUUUUUAUCCAAAUAGGGAUUGCCUUAAUGGUAUUCCUGUAGUCUCAAUGGUGUAGUUUGAUGCACUAGGUCUGAAUGAAUUCUUAAAUCACAUUAUUUUUGUAUAUUUAGUUAUACUCCCAAAAGUAUAGUUUGAUAUGCUCUCAUAUGUGAUAUUGUACAAAACCAACAUAUAUUUAUAAAACCAAAACAUAUUUUAAUAUGUUAUUUAUAAAACCAAAACAUAGUUUAAUAUGUUAUUUAUAAAACUAGAACAUAGUUUAAUAUGUUAUUUAUAUAACUAAAACAUAGUUUAAUAUGUUAUUUAUAAAACCAAAAUAUAGUUUAAUAUGUUAUUUAUAAAACCAAAACAUAGUUUAAUAUGUUCUUUAUAAAACCAAAACAUAUUUUGAUAUGUUAUUUAUAAAACCAAAACAUAGUUUAAUAUGUUAUUAAUAAAACCAAAGUAUACUUUUGAUAUACUACUGAAAAUUUAUUAUUUUACCGACUAAAGUAUAUAUAUAAUAUACUAUUUGUUUAACGAUGGGUUUUUGGUUAGUGUUUAGAUAACGGGACGGGUGUAUUGUGAUGAAAACAUGGUAGAUACGCCGCUGGUACUUCUUAUAUAUAAGUGUUUUCAUCACAUUACAUACCGUGGCGUUAUUUAGUACUCUUGGGUAAACGAUUUUGAAACUGAAAUAUAUUUUGAUAUAUUACUUAUUCGAUUUUCUUAGAACCAAAGUAUAUUUUUAUAUAUACUAUAAACCUUUUUAUCAAAAUAUUGUUUUAUAAACAAUAUAUUUUAUACAAAUUCAUUUUAUUUAGUUAUUUAAUUACCUAUGUAUUAUUAUUUUAUAUCAUCUGAUUUCUUAUAAAUUCUAGUAUGAUUUAUAAAAGAAAAUAUUUUAAGGUUCAUGACCGUUUUUGAUAAAAAAUUAUUUUAAACCUAUAAGUCAUGAAUCCUAAUUAUGAUAAAACCUAUGUAUCUCACAGGCAUUUUUAUGCUGACGUACCUAUUUUUACACAUGUUUCAGGAUGGACUUGUGCCUUAGCGACUUUAAAACUUGAGAGAUAAUAUUUGUAUUAAUCUGUUUUGUAAUAGAACAAAGAGUUCAAUGAUUCAAUAAAACAAAAUUACU
RNAcentral lists this long non-coding RNA (2437 nucleotides) under Helianthus annuus (common sunflower). RNAcentral's name for it is "hypothetical non coding rna". The record is from RNAcentral. Lineage: Eukaryota; Viridiplantae; Streptophyta; Magnoliopsida; Asterales; Asteraceae.